AGAGUUUGAUCAUGGCUCAGAACGAACGUUAGCGGCGCGCCUAACACAUGCAAGUCGAACGAGAAAGGGCUUCGGCCCCGGUAAAGUGGCGCACGGGUGAGUAACACGUGGAUAAUCUUCCCUCGAGCGGGGGAUAACAUUCCGAAAGGAGUGCUAAUACCGCAUAAGACCACGGAGCCGAAAGGCUCUGAGGUAAAAGCAGGCCUCUAUACAUAAGCUUGCACUUGAGGAUGAGUCCGCGGCCCAUCAGGUAGUUGGUUGGGGUAAUGGCCCACCAAGCCUAAGACGGGUAGCUGGUCUGAGAGGAUGAUCAGCCACACUGGAACUGAGACACGGUCCAGACUCCUACGGGAGGCAGCAGUGGGGAAUCUUGCGCAAUGGGCGAAAGCCUGACGCAGCGACGCCGCGUGAGUGAUGAAGGCCUUCGGGUUGUAAAGCUCUGUGGGGAGAGACGAAUAAGUCGUAGCUAAUACCUCCGAUGAUGACGGUAUCUCCUUAGCAAGCACCGGCUAACUCUGUGCCAGCAGCCGCGGUAAGACAGAGGGUGCAAACGUUGUUCGGAAUUACUGGGCGUAAAGCGUGUGUAGGCGGCUAAGUAAGUCGGAUGUGAAAGCCCUGGGCUCAACCCAGGAAGUGCACUCGAUACUGCAUAGCUAGAGUACUGGAGAGUGGUGGAAUUCUCGGUGUAGAGGUGAAAUUCGUAGAUAUCGAGAGGAACACCGGUGGCGAAGGCGGCCAACUGGACAGAUACUGACGCUGAGACACGAAAGCGUGGGGAGCAAACAGGAUUAGAUACCCUAGUAGUCC
Molecule: ribosomal RNA, 807 nt
Filed under: uncultured bacterium
Lineage: Bacteria
Description: bacterial SSU rRNA
Rfam family: Bacterial small subunit ribosomal RNA
Source: RNAcentral